CCUGGCGGCACUAGCGCGGUGGUCCCACUGACCCCAUGCAGAACUCAGAAGUGAAACGCCGUAGCGCCGAUGGUAGUGUGGGGUCUCCCCAUGCGAGAGUAGGGAACUGCCAGGC
Molecule: ribosomal RNA, 115 nt
Filed under: Candidatus Sodalis endolongispinus
Lineage: Bacteria; Pseudomonadati; Pseudomonadota; Gammaproteobacteria; Enterobacterales; Bruguierivoracaceae
Source: RNAcentral